Molecule: long non-coding RNA, 617 nt
Organism: Rhipicephalus sanguineus (brown dog tick)
Lineage: Eukaryota; Metazoa; Arthropoda; Arachnida; Ixodida; Ixodidae
Exons: 7
Source: RefSeq, a predicted model, not a curated record
UCCGCGGAUAAUUCGCUGGGAUCGUCUGCCGGGAAGUUACUCUGCUUGGCGGCUGCUUGGUCAUGCCGUCCGGAGUCAAGUACUACGGCAGCUACUGCUGCGCUGCGUGGUGCAACAACAACGGCAGGACAGGGAGAGAGCGUGGUACUAAGUGGUUCAGGAUUCCGCGAGACGACAGCCCAGUCUACCAGUCCAUUUGUGGCAUGUGAGAGCUUUGUUGACAUGAGGUCUGACCCGGAGAUCCUUCAUUCAUGACUGCAGUGAACCUUUCCCACCUUAUGGUUCACAGGGUCAAGGGGUAACCAAAGCGGCUUCCAGGAGAACAUCCAGUCUAGUCGGGGGUGACGAGAGUGAGAGUGUAAAGGAGAGCUCCUGUUCCCUGGCACUGCCUGAAGGGACCCCAGUCGAGAGCCACAAGCAACCUGUGAAGGGUGCUGCGGAGACUCCUUGCUCUACUGCCCAUGAAGAAAGUCCAGUCGGUGGUGACGAGAGUGAGAGUGUAAAGGAGAGCUCCUGUUCCCUGGCACUGCCUGAAGGGACCCCAGUCGACAGCCACAAGCAACCUGUGAAGGGUGCUGCGGAGAUUCCAUGCCCUACUGUCAAUGGUGAGAUGCGGU